GCAAUUGUCAGCAUUGCACAGUAAUUUUUAAGGAUGUUAAAAUGCUUUAUCUGUUUGUCAGAGAGUCGCCCUUCAGCCUUAUAGCAUCCGUCAACUUAAUAUAAGACCUCCGAUGCCAUCCACUGCACCUUUCCCAUGUGAUGUUGCAAAGAAAAACCAUUCUCAAGACACUCUAAAGUCUUUCAUUAUGUAGCAAGUUUGUUCUUAAAUUGGCGUGGACAACUAUCAGAAAAAAAUUCUAAUAGAGGUGGCAAUUGUGUACUGUUGAAGAACUCCCCAUUUACAAAGUUAAAGUCUGUUUGGGGAAUGAGAGGUGUGUGUCGGGGAUACUUGCUGGUGAACACUUUCAGUUUUCAAAAUCUCUAAUGAGAUUUUCUUUCUGCUGCUGUUUCUCGUUCAGUGCGGCAACCAGGA
Schistocerca cancellata (South American locust) is the source of this 414-nucleotide long non-coding RNA. RefSeq lists it as uncharacterized. NCBI's taxonomy places the organism in Eukaryota, Metazoa, Arthropoda, Insecta, Orthoptera, Acrididae. The transcript is spliced from 3 exons. The record is from RefSeq and is a predicted model, not a curated record.